GACGAACGCUGGCGGCGUGCCUAAUACAUGCAAGUCGAACGGUCUUUUCUAUGGAAGCUUGCUUCCACUGAGAAGAUAGUGGCGAACGGGUGAGUAACACGUGGGUAACCUGCCCAUAAGAGGGGGAUAACAUCCGGAAACGGGUGCUAAUACCGCAUAGUUUUCUUGAUCGCAUGAUUGAGAAAGGAAAGACGGCCUUUGUGCUGUCGCUUAUGGAUGGACCCGCGGCGUAUUAGUUAGUUGGUGAGGUAACGGCUCACCAAGACGAUGAUACGUAGCCGACCUGAGAGGGUGAUCGGCCACAUUGGGACUGAGACAUGGCCCAAACUCCUACGGGAGGCAGCAGUAGGGAAUCUUCCGCAAUGGACGAAAGUCUGACGGAGCAACGCCGCGUGAGUGAAGAAGGUUUUCGGAUCGUAAAACUCUGUUGUCAGAGAAGAACAAGUUGGAGAGUAACUGCUCCAGCCUUGACGGUAUCUGACCAGAAAGCCACGGCUAACUACGU
RNAcentral lists this ribosomal RNA (505 nucleotides) under uncultured bacterium. RNAcentral's name for it is "bacterial SSU rRNA". It matches the Rfam family "Bacterial small subunit ribosomal RNA", at positions 28 to 506 of the family's 1533-position model. The record is from RNAcentral.